RNAcentral lists this ribosomal RNA (445 nucleotides) under uncultured bacterium. RNAcentral's name for it is "bacterial SSU rRNA". It matches the Rfam family "Bacterial small subunit ribosomal RNA", at positions 29 to 524 of the family's 1533-position model. The record is from RNAcentral.
AAUGAACGCUGGCGGCAGGCCUAACACAUGCAAGUCGAACGGAUCCUUCGGGAUUAGUGGCGGACGGGUGAGUAACGCGUGGGAACAUACCCUUUGGUACGGAAUAGCCUCGGGAAACUGGGAGUAAUACCGUAUGUGCUCUUCGGAGGAAAGAUUUAUCGCCAAAGGAUUGGCCCGCGUUGGAUUAGGUAGUUGGUGGGGUAAUGGCCUACCAAGCCGACGAUCCAUAGCUGGUUUGAGAGGAUGAUCAGCCACACUGGGACUGAGACACGGCCCAGACUCCUACGGGAGGCAGCAGUGGGAAUCUUAGACAAUGGGGAAACCUGAUCUAGCCAUGCCGCGUGAUCGAUGAAGGCCUUAGGGUGUAAAGAUCUUUCAGUGGGAAGAUAAUGACGGUACCCACAGAAGAAGCCCCGGCUAACUCCGUGCCAGCAGCCGCGGUAAU